RNAcentral lists this ribosomal RNA (468 nucleotides) under uncultured bacterium. RNAcentral's name for it is "partial 16S ribosomal RNA". It matches the Rfam family "Bacterial small subunit ribosomal RNA", at positions 28 to 507 of the family's 1533-position model. The record is from RNAcentral.
GACGAACGCUGGCGGCGUGCUUAACACAUGCAAGUCGAACGGGAAGGCCCUGCUUUUGUGGGGUGCUCGCGUGGCGAACGGGUGAGUAACACGUGAGUAACCUGCCCUUGACUUUGGGAUAACUUCAGGAAACUGGGGCUAAUACCGGAUAGGAGCUCCUGCUGCAUGGUGGGGGUUGGAAAGUUUCGGCGGUUGGGGAUGGACUCGCGGCUUAUCAGCUUGUUGGUGGGGUAGUGGCUUACCAAGGCUUUGACGGGUAGCCGGCCUGAGAGGGUGACCGGCCACAUUGGGACUGAGAUACGGCCCAGACUCCUACGGGAGGCAGCAGUGGGGAAUAUUGCACAAUGGGCGGAAGCCUGAUGCAGCAACGCCGCGUGCGGGAUGACGGCCUUCGGGUUGUAAACCGCUUUCGCCUGUGACGAAGCGUGAGUGACGGUAAUGGGUAAAGAAGCACCGGCUAACUACGUG